Molecule: unclassified non-coding RNA, 240 nt
Filed under: soil metagenome
Description: partial contains 5.8S ribosomal RNA, internal transcribed spacer 2, and large subunit ribosomal RNA
Source: RNAcentral
AACCAUUCUCACCUGCGGCUAGACCUGCGGAAGGAUCAUUACCGAGUGUGAACCCCCCCGUAAAAAAGAGGGGUUACCUCCCGUCCUUUGCUGGGAACCCCUUUCCAACUUGGAAGGAGGUUGUUUUCAGACCCUUCUGCUUCGGUGGGGUAACCCACCGGAACAACCUCAAAAAUAUUCUCAAUUCAAAACCGUUCAGUCCGAGAACUUUUUUGAAAAGCGAAAAAACUUUUAGCAACG